UGAACACAGCUGAUGGUAUCUCUUU
RNAcentral lists this non-coding RNA (25 nucleotides) under Eisenia fetida (common brandling worm). RNAcentral also lists the same sequence under 1 other name. The record is from RNAcentral. Lineage: Eukaryota; Metazoa; Annelida; Clitellata; Crassiclitellata; Lumbricidae.